AGCGUCGCGUAGUUGAUGACGUCAUCCGCAUGCGUCCAGCGCGCUGUAUUUCAUUUUUGUCGCAGAAAGAUAAUGACUGGGAGUAAAAUGGCGAUAAAAGCGUUGGAGAGCCGCUAUGUCCUACUUGAAUGGACUGAGGGUGAGGAUAGAGGGGUCCAUAGUAUUUUGCCCCUCGGCUGUGUCCGGAAUUUUUCAGUUAGAGACUUUUUUGAAAGGACUAAUAAAACCGAGAAGCUGGAAUGGUGAAAAGGCCGCCAACCGGCCGAUGCACCGAGCCAGAAUUAUUCGCGUGGCAAAACUUGAAAAAACUCUCCAAAUUAAACUGAUCGAGAUGGAGAAAGAUGGCACACAAUGGCAAAUAAAACGUCCUCACAUCAAAGUACAGUGAGCAGCAGGGGCCGAAUGAGAAGGCUUCAACGUAAAAGGUUGACAAUAAAAAGGGAGGGGCUUCCAAAUACAAGCACCAGGAGGAGGGUCAUGACAGACUUUCAAAGAAUGAGUAAAGCUGCUUUGUGACAAUGUGAACCUCCCCUGCUCCUGUCGAAACUAAUUUUUUCCAGCAUGACCAGCAUGAUUGCUCCUAUUCUGACCUCAAUGUGCAAUGGACAGUGGGCUUAUAAAAGCCUAGCACAGGUCUUUGGUGGAACAAAAAUCUAAUUUGAACAUGAAAGUGGCCAUGAGCAAUCUGGCAGACUUCUGUCUGUAUGAGCUAAACUGCCUAUCAGCUGCCUAGUGAAGAAAACUACACUAAGUUAUGUAUGUAACCCGGUUCACUGAGAAGGGAUGAUGCUAUGGGAAUGCUUCUUUUAGGAAGUUGCCUCUGAAGCUCAGUGUGCACAUGCCAAUUCAAUGGCUCGAUAAGGACAUGUGACAAAGUGAUUAUGCACCAGCAAGUCACAAUACUCCAGCUUCUAUUUGUCUGAAGGAAGCACGAGAGGAUGAGAGGCCAGCGAUGCAGAAUCUCGUUCCCUUCUCAGUAGUUCCCUUUCAAUUGAACUCGAUGCUGCAUCAGGGUUGACGCUAGGUUCAAUACCGAUGCUGCCACACACCAUUUGUUGACUGUGCCAGAGGUCAUGAAAGAGCUUGAGCAGACUGGAAACUGAACAUCAACAGCCCUGCAGGACCUGGAACCCUGGAGUUGGGUCCAGGACCAGGUUAUAGAACCUGAUAAAGGGUGCUAAGAGGACCAACCCACCUUAAAUAUAAUCACACCCCUGGCCAAGGCACUGGACGAGGCGAUACCCCUAGUGGAGUGAGCACUGAUCCCGAGAGGUGAGGCAAGACCGCAUGCCUCAUAGGCCUGAGUAAUGGCCUCCACUACCCAGUGUACCAGGCGCUGCGUGGAAACCGGAUUUCCACUGUUCUGAGUCCCAAAACAGACAAACAAGGAUGACGAGUUAGAUGAGCGAUAGACAUAAGUCCUCAAGGCCCUUUCUGGACAAAGCAAAUGCAGAGCAAAUUCUAGGGAUGUGUGGGUGAUCGACAUGGCCUGAAAUUCUCACAGUCUUUUAAGAGAGGCCAAGGCUAGAAGCAUAGCCAUCUUCAGGGUCAGAAACUUCUCAGAGGCUGACUUCAUGGGCUUAAACUGGGCUUCCAGCAUCCCCUCCAGGACCACAGUGAGGUCUCAGGAAGGAAGGCGCGGUCUGCAGGAAGAUCUCAGCCGCCUGACACCACAAAGAAAGCAAGAGACCAGAGCAUGCCUACCCAAGGACACCUCGAGGACAGGUUUGUUGUUCAAAGCUAUGGCAGCCAUAUACACCUUUAAAGUAAAUGGGCACAAACCCCGAGAAAAGCAAGACUGCAAUAACUCCAGCACUGUACCGACACCUACAGUGGUGUGAAGAAGUGUUUGCCCCUUUCUGAUUUUUGUAUAUUUUUGCAUGUUUGUCACACUUUAAUGUUUCAAAUCAUCAUUAUGCGUUUUGUGGCAUAAUCUCCUGUUAAGGCCGAAAUUAACUUAAAUUACACAUUCAGUUUCGAUCGUACAGAUAAGAGCAAUACAUCAAUUGAAUCUGUGAAGGGUCUACUUUUAUAUGCAUACACACAUAAUAACAACAAAUCACUGUCCUUUUGUAGAAUAAAGAAAAUAUGCAGAGUGCGUUCUCUGCCAUCUCGGUCUCUGUCAUCACUCUUCACAGAUACAUAAAUAAAACAACCAGAAUCUCAGCGAAUACUUGCCUCAAAUACAAGAUAAAUAUAUGCAUGGAAAGCUUGAAAUGUCUACUUUUAAAUAAGCGAAUUCAAGUCAAAAACAAAUAAUCUAUUUUUAUGUAAUCCAUAAGAAAGUAAGGAGUGGUCCGGUUUCUCCUGUUUCGCCUAAUUAUAGCUAAUGUGUUCCUGCCUCCCUCUGAGCGCGCUGUUCAUAUGCAAAUGAACUGAGGGUAUUCAGGUAAUCACAUGCAUGCCCCCGAGACACAGGAAUGACUCGGUACAUGAAAUCCGGACCUGUGUGCUUGGAAAUGCCUUGGAAAUGCCAGGGAGGUGAUGUUCACUUGUGUGUUCAGCUGAAAAGGAACUGUUUCCUAGAGUGGCACAAAGAUGUAUAACUGUAUAAUUCUGAGUACUAUGUGACAGAGUAGGUUAGUGGGCUUCUACAAACCUUACACCCUUUUUUAUCGUUCAAAGUUUUGCCCUGAUUGUGUCUUCU
Tachysurus fulvidraco (yellow catfish) is the source of this 2647-nucleotide long non-coding RNA. RefSeq lists it as uncharacterized. The transcript has 5 exons. NCBI's taxonomy places the organism in Eukaryota, Metazoa, Chordata, Actinopteri, Siluriformes, Bagridae. The record is from RefSeq and is a predicted model, not a curated record.